RNAcentral lists this ribosomal RNA (469 nucleotides) under uncultured bacterium. Its description in RNAcentral is "bacterial SSU rRNA". It matches the Rfam family "Bacterial small subunit ribosomal RNA", at positions 28 to 507 of the family's 1533-position model. The record is from RNAcentral.
GAUGAACGCUAGCUACAGGCUUAACACAUGCAAGUCGAGGGGCAGCGGGAUUGAAGCUUGCUUCAAUUGCCGGCGACCGGCGCACGGGUGAGUAACGCGUAUCCAACCUUCCGUACACUCAGGGAUAGCCUUUCGAAAGAAGGAUUAAUACCUGAUGGUAUGAUGAGAUCGCAUGGUAUCAUCAUUAAAGAUUUAUCGGUGUACGAUGGGGAUGCGUUCCAUUAGGUAGUAGGCGGGGUAACGGCCCACCUAGCCUACGAUGGAUAGGGGUUCUGAGAGGAAGGUCCCCCACAUUGGAACUGAGACACGGUCCAAACUCCUACGGGAGGCAGCAGUGAGGAAUAUUGGUCAAUGGGGGAAACCCUGAUGCAGCAACGCCGCGUGAAGGAUGAAGGUUUUCGGAUUGUAAACUUCUGUUCUUAGUGACGAUAAUGACGUAGCUAAGAAGAAAGCUCCGGCUAACUACGUG